This 663-nucleotide ribosomal RNA is filed under the name Volvocales sp. NrCl902. RNAcentral describes it as "large subunit rRNA fragment L5". It matches the Rfam family "Bacterial large subunit ribosomal RNA", at positions 1640 to 2304 of the family's 2925-position model. The record is from RNAcentral. Lineage: Eukaryota; Viridiplantae; Chlorophyta; Chlorophyceae; Chlamydomonadales.
UAAUGUACCUAAAACCGCAAUAGGUGGGCUAGUAUAGUUCUACUAAGGUUAAGGACGAACCAUAUUUAAGGAACUCGGCAAAAUACUUUCGUGACUUAGGAGUAAGAAUGCCACAUGAAGUGGAGCAUAGAAGCAUUAGCGGCAACUGUUUACCAAAAACACAAGACUCUGCUUUAAGUUUAUUUAACGCUGUAUAGAGUCUGAUACCUGCCCAAAGGCGAAAGCAAACGGCAGCAGUAACUCUGACUGUUCUAAGGUAGCAAAACCCCUUGACGUUUAAUUGGCGUCGUGCAUGAAUGGUAUAAUGAUCGCUAAGCUGUCUCAAAUAUGGAACCUGUGAAAUUGAAUGCUUUGUGCAGAUGCGGAGAAGUAUUUGUGGGUCGCCGAGACCCUAUGCAUCUUAAUAGAUUGGUCUUUAGUUACAUAAAUGUAAUGAAUGGUUUAGUAUAGUACGCUUAUGUAUCAUAACCAUACUAUAUAUAUAUAUAUAAUUAAAAUAUAGGGCUGGGGGCAUCCCCCCCCCCAUCCAUAGCGUAUUCUAUAGCUUAGCUAUAAAAUACCGCUAUGUGGGACGCCCGCACGGGGGCUGCUAGGCAGCCUCCGCUAAUGCUGUUGCAUGGCUAGAAGGAUACCUUUAUUAUAUUUUUAUAUAAUAUUAACAAA